UGGCGGACGGGUGAGUAAUGUCUGGGAAACUGCCUGAUGGAGGGGGAUAACUACUGGAAACGGUAGCUAGUACCGCAUAACGUCGCAAGACCAAAGAGGGGGACCUUCGGGCCUCUUGCCAUCGGAUGUGCCCAGAUGGGAUUAGCUAGUAGGUGGGGUAACGGCUCACCUAGGCGACGAUCCCUAGCUGGUCUGAGAGGAUGACCAGCCACACUGGAACUGAGACACGGUCCAGACUCCUACGGGAGGCAGCAUG
RNAcentral lists this ribosomal RNA (256 nucleotides) under uncultured bacterium. RNAcentral's name for it is "partial 16S ribosomal RNA". It matches the Rfam family "Bacterial small subunit ribosomal RNA", at positions 96 to 353 of the family's 1533-position model. The record is from RNAcentral.